AGGAUUGAAAGUGGUUCACUGGGGAGACUGAUGAAGACUUCUUGACUAGAGGAAGGAUUGUCAUGCUGCUCUGUGAACAUGUUCAAAGAGGCUUUAUCUUCAAGAAAUAGUCAGUGAUAUUCAAGCUAAGAGGAUACUGCUGAUUGAGAAACACUGAAGAUAAAUUCCUGAUACUACUAAGGUAUUGAUCCCAAGAGCACUCCCUAGUACAGCCCUGGAAAGCAGUUGUGACUCAGCCCUCUGUGUUCCACACAGACAAGAAGCAGAAAAUUGUGUCACGUUAAAGAACAAGCCCUGAAGGUAUAUGCAGGUGUUUUACUAUCUGGAGGGACGUGAAGAAUGAGAAGUAAAACCUGAGGUCCCACCUAUAGAUUUUGGUAUCAACUGUAUCAGAAGCGUAGUGUGGCUGCUUAAUAAGUAAGUUAAUACAUGGAUUGAUUACUCCGGACCUUGGACCAGAGGC
This is a non-coding RNA of Delphinapterus leucas (beluga whale), 463 nucleotides long. The record is from RefSeq and is a predicted model, not a curated record. Lineage: Eukaryota; Metazoa; Chordata; Mammalia; Artiodactyla; Monodontidae.